AUUAUCGAAUAAAACUUGAACAGGUUGUUGCUGGCUCCCCUCGAUGAGGGGCAUGUGCACGCUUGUCAUUUUUAUCUCAUUUCUCCUCUGUGCACCAGCUGUAGGUCUGGAGUGUUUGAAAUAUCGAUUGAGGACUGCUGUGCUUUUGAAAGUCGGCUUUGCCUUGCAUCUCCAGGUCUAUGUUUACAAUCUCUCAAUGUGUUUGGAAUGUCAAAUUGUGAAAAAAUAUAUGUAUAACAUACAACUUUCAGCAACGGAUCUCUUGGCUCUCGCAUCGAUGAAGAACGCAGCGAAAUGCGAUAAGUAAUGUGAAUUGCAGAAUUCAGUGAAUCAUCGAAUCUUUGAACGCAUCUUGCGCUCCUUGGUAUUCUGAGGAGCAUGCCUGUUUGAGUGUCAUCAAGUUCUCAACCGCAUUGAUUUGCUUUGAUGUGGAUUGGACAUGGGGGUUUGCAGGCCCCUUUCAAAGGGUUCUGCUUCUCUGAAAUAGAUUAGUGGUAAUCUGAGCAGAGAGACUACUACGGGUGUGAUAACUAUCUAUGCCUUUUUG
This 547-nucleotide ribosomal RNA is filed under the name Inocybe urbana. RNAcentral describes it as "eukaryotic LSU rRNA". The stretch from base 243 to 396 matches the Rfam family "5.8S ribosomal RNA". Lineage: Eukaryota; Fungi; Basidiomycota; Agaricomycetes; Agaricales; Inocybaceae. The record is from RNAcentral.